AUGUACAGGAAUACAACAUAGAUUUAAUGCACCAGAUCCCAUUAGAACUCUGUAGUUAAGCAUGCUCAGGCUAGAGUAGCACUGGGAUGGGUGACCACCCGUGAAGUCAUAGUGUUUUACAUG
This is a non-coding RNA of Picea glauca (white spruce), 123 nucleotides long. Lineage: Eukaryota; Viridiplantae; Streptophyta; Pinopsida; Pinales; Pinaceae. The record is from Rfam.